UACGUAGGGGGCAAGCGUUGUCCGGAUUUAUUGGGCGUAAAGCGCGUGUAGGCGGCUUGGCAAGUCGGAUGUGAAAGCCCAGGGCUCAACCCUGGAAGUGCACUCGAAACUGCCGAGCUGGAGUCCCGGAGAGGAAGGCGGAAUUCUCGGUGUAGAGGUGAAAUUCGUAGAUAUCGAGAGGAACACCUGUGGCGAAGGCGGCCUUCUGGACGGUGACUGACGCUGAGACGCGAAAGCGUGGGGAGCAAACAGG
RNAcentral lists this ribosomal RNA (253 nucleotides) under uncultured bacterium. RNAcentral's name for it is "partial 16S ribosomal RNA". It matches the Rfam family "Bacterial small subunit ribosomal RNA", at positions 524 to 776 of the family's 1533-position model. The record is from RNAcentral.